This 582-nucleotide ribosomal RNA is filed under the name uncultured marine bacterium. Its description in RNAcentral is "bacterial SSU rRNA". It matches the Rfam family "Bacterial small subunit ribosomal RNA", at positions 8 to 637 of the family's 1533-position model. The record is from RNAcentral.
AGAGUUUGAUCCUGGCUCAGAAUGAACGCUGGCGGCAUGCCUAACACAUGCAAGUCGAACGAGAUCUUCGGAUCUAGUGGCGCACGGGUGAGUAACGCGUGGGAACCUACCUUUUAGUAUGGGACAACGUUUGGAAACGAACGCUAAUACCGUAUACGCCCUCCGGGGGAAAGGUCAGCCGCUAAAAGAGGGGCCCGCGUCUGAUUAGCUUGUUGGUAAGGUAAUGGCUUACCAAGGCUACGAUCAGUAGCUGGUCUGAGAGGAUGAUCAGCCACACUGGGACUGAGACACGGCCCAGACUCCUACGGGAGGCAGCAGUGGGGAAUAUUGGACAAGGGAGGCAACUCUGAUCCAGCAAUGCCGCGUGUGUGAUGAAGGCCCUAGGGUUGUAAAGCACUUUCAACGGUGAAGAUGAUGACGGUAGCCGUAGAAGAAGCCCCGGCUAACUUCGUGCCAGCAGCCGCGGUAAUACGAAGGGGGCGAGCGUUAUUCGGAAUUAUUGGGCGUAAAGGGCUCGCAGGCUGCUUGAACAGUUAGACGUGAAAUCCCCGGCUCAACCUGGGAACUGCGUUUAAUACUAGC